UUUUUUUUUUUUUUUUUUUUUUUGCUUUUGACGACUCAACACAAGGUUACAACUUCACUUAGAAGAAAUUUAAUGGGAGUUAAACCCUUGAAAAACCUGUUUUCAUGAACGUAAUCACGCCAAAAAAUUCCAACCUCGAUCAAUCACAGGAUAGGUUAAAUUCAAGUGAUAAAAUCAAGAGAACAAGAAUCAAAAUUUAUUUUUUUGUUUCUUUUAAAUCAAAAGGCGGCUAGGGUUUUGGUAGAAAAAUAAAUAGAAGAAAAAAAAGAAAAGAAAAGGAUAUUAACCUGAAUCAAGAGCCGAAGCUCUGAUACCAAGUACCUUAAUGAAAUAGGUGCAAUUUUUUUUUGGUAAGCCACAAGUACUUGCAAUUAACUUCUUUUCUUAAUUUAAAGUUUUGGUUUAUUUGAUCAACAUCAAACUUAACUAUAGUUGAAGCAACUUACAAGAACGUACAAAAUCCGAAAUAUCAAUGUGUUUCAUGAUAAAGACUCUUUCGGUCAGCAAGCAUUAUCAUAUUGGUACAAAGUUAGUCCUAUAACACAUCAUUUAUGUGAUUUGAACUAAAGAUUCAAGGUUAUUCAACAUGAUGAGCCAAUCUAGAUGCAUAAACAUUUCUCUUUCUGCUAAAAUAGGCCUAUAUAUAUAUAUAUAUAAUGUUGCUAAAAGGAGCAAAUUUUAUGCACAUGUCAUUAACUUCAAGAAUACGAACGUUUUCUUCUUACACUUUACCCUCAAGACUAACUUGUUUUAAUAAUUAUUUCACAUGGUCCUCAUGAAAUAUUUGGUAUUAGUGUAUUGUAACUGAGGUUUUGUAGUCUUAAGAUGAUCCUAGUCUCUUUGUAAUACAAAAAGAGGGAAUUAUAAUUGAAAAUGUUAAAUAUGAUUACUGCAAAUCAACAUUAAAUUUUGGUCAAAUGUAAAAAACCAUUGAAGAUAUACCCUUCAUUCAAAAAAUAUAGAUGGUUACAAUGUAGUCAUUCACAUUGUGUCCUAUUAUCUUGUGCAACACAAAAGUAAUUAAUACAAGAAAUAGCAUAUCAUGUCUUUAAUAGCAGUUUGGGUUUGUUUGGAUAGUGAAGUUUUAAAAAAAUCUCUUUUUGCUACAUAAUAAUGACAUUGCUCAAUUACCUAUUUAUUUUUCCAUCCAACUUUCUAUUUAACAUCCAUCAUAUCAUCGAAAAUGUUAUAGUAUUAUUUUAAAAGUUUUUUUUUCUAAUAUUCUUUAAUCCAAAAAUUUUUUUUUUAGCUCAUCUUUUACAGUUUAAUUAACUAUAAACUAAUUUCUACUAGAUUAUUAAAAAGGGAAAAUACAUGCAAAAGCAUGGAUUAAAUGAAAAUUUAACUAGUUGACAUUGCUAGUCUGACAAAUUAAACCUUUCGUCAAAACUUACAAUGGUAGUGAUACAUAACAUCACUAAUAUGAUCGUGGAUUUAGGUAACGAUUGCCCAUUAGACAUUGUUAAGAGAAGUUUGAAGCACUAUUUUUUUAUAAAAUUUGAAAAAAAUAUCUAAAUGCAUUGGUUAGAAAAAUCCAUUGUCAAUUUGGAUUUAGCUCUAAGAUACCUGUGGAUUAAGACAAUAGAGUAUUGGUUAAUUUGACCCCAAAAAAAAAUUUGUGGUCUCAUUUAAUCCAUAUCCUCACGCGCUAGUCCACACGUCAAGGUGAAUUUUGUGUGCAACUAAUCUCAAUCAAAAAUCGCAACAGCAUCAAAAACAUCAAUUGGCAUUAUUAUAUUAUUUUUUCCUCCAGUCACAUUCAAAUUGAUUUGAGUGGUUAACAUAUAUUUGAUGUCAAAUUGAUGAAGGCAUGAAUCAUGCAAUAUUUGCCCAAUCCGGGUAGUUCGAGUGAUUUCGUUGCUCCUCUUUAGGAUAUGGCGGAUAAUGUGUUCGAGAGGAGUGGACCUCUUCUCUCUGGUCGCAGGGGAUUCGGCCCGGACAUCCUUGUGUCAAAAAAAAAAAAAGAAUCAUGCAAUAUUUUAUCGGACUUAAUGGUCACAAUAUUGAUGUCUUCUGGGUAAGAAAAUCUCAGACAAUGAUCCAACUAUGGAAAAUUAAGAGAAAAAUGAUCGAUAGUUGGCAGCUGCAGAAAAUAGGAAAAUACUCUGAUAUUGAUACAUGUCAAUAUCAUUGAAGAAAAAAUCUUACAAUAUGAUGGAGCCAACUGACCUAAAUUUUAAAACCAUUGUGCUUCAUUCAACAGUACGUGAGAAGGCUUUUUUUUUUUCCCCUUAAGCAGGGGAUAUUCAAGAAACGGAGAGAAAGAAGAGGGAUUUCUAAAUUUUGAAAUCUCAUUCUUAACUACUUGAUUAAGAUUUUCUCGAUAAAAUUUCGUGUUUCAAGAUUUCUGUGAUAAUGGAACGGUAUCCAAAUUUGAUACAAUCCACCACUCUGCCCAUUGUUUUAGUUUUUGACAAUUAAAAAUCUCAUCUGACAAUACAACGCCCAAACAUGAAUUAUGGACAUGCUUCUUUGGCCACUCCGAUGAGUCGAGUUUUUUUUUUUUUUUUUUUUGCUGUUAAAGAAUAUGGUAUUUAUUGCUAUGUUAUACUCAUAUUAAUAAAAGAAGGGUUUUUAAGGACAUUCGUUAACACACCUAAUAUUCAACUAAUUUAUCAUAUAUAUAUAUAUACACACACACACAUACUAACACAUAUUAUCCUCCCUUGUAUUUGUAUACUUUCUUUAUUUAAUCUUACAUACCCUCUCUUGUAUUUAUUUACUUUUCGUAAUUAAUCUUAUAUUUUAAAAAAUAUAACACCUGAAAUAUAUCUUAAUGAGUGCCUUAUAGGCACCCGUCAAACAAACCGAUAAAAGAAAAUUAAUGUACAUAAAUUUGGAUUUUCCUAAUUAAGUAACCAAAUACACAAAACUUUUUCAUCUACAAUGCACCACUCUCGUUAUUUUUGCCUAAUAUACAAUUUUCUGUUGACGAUAUUGUGAGCUCUUAUUUUCCAGCCAAAGCAACUUGUCUUCAAAAUCCAGUUUACCCCUUCUAAAAGUAAACCUGUGGACAAUAAAUUAUGGGACUCAAUUCAUUGACACCACAAAAAUUAAUUCUUUCCUCUUGCUAUAGUCGUUUACCACCACAAGGGCUUUAAUUAUCUUGAUGAUGUUGUUAAUGGUUCCAAAAUUCAAACCCUUCACGAUUAUCUACCCAUUCAUAAUUUCUAGACUGAAAUAAAAUCUUCCAUGGCAAAAAUCCAACUAUCACCAGCCUGUUCUGUUCGGAUAGAAGAUUAUUUCUAAUAAUUUUGUACAAUUUGUAGUUUCAUGAUAUCAUAUAUAAUUGAACAACAUAUUUAUAAUCCAACAAAAAAAAUUACAAGUAACUGUCAAACUAAGCACACUCAAUUUGGUUUCUUCACUUGUUUUGGCUCAAAGAAGGGGAACAAAUUUUAAUUAUUCAACUUCAUAAAUUUCCUUGAGUACCACUAAGAAAUUUUUUAGUGUGUUUGGAUAGGAGAUUAUUUGGGAUAAUUUUUUUUUUAAAAAAAAUACUGUAACACUUUUUUGAUUUGAUAUAUGUGAGAUAAAAAAGUGAUUAGAAAAUGCAUUGAUGAUACAAGAAAGUCAGUACAUAUAAAUAAGGUGUAAAUAAAGUACAAUCCAAACACACUCGCACAACUUUUGCACCUUGCAUUAUAUAUUUUUUAAAAUAUAAUGUGUUGAUGUCCUGCAUUUGCACCCUCUCAAAUUUACGAGCUUGAAAGAUUGGCCAAUUUCAUAAUUUGUGAUGAAAAAAAAAUGUUAUCUGCUAAAGAGGAUUGAUUUACAAGUGGUUCAGGCGUCAGGAGGAGUCGCAUUUGGAGAAUAUGACUAGCCAAGGUGGUCACGUUUGACGAAUGCGACCACCCUAUUUUCUCCUUCAUCAAAAAGAAAUUGAAUAUAAAAAAAAGGGUGAAUGGUCUCAUUCGUGGUCCUGGUCUGUGACCAUCCUAUUUUCUUCAUAUUAAAAAAUAAAAAGUUGGGCACAAAUAUGACUGCAAUUUAAACUGUGGUUUUUGAAAACAGGUGAACAUUUUUUUUAAAGAAAAAAGGUGGGCUUCUAGCCUCUUUAGCAAAACAAACUUUUGAUUCCCUAUAGUUAUACUUCAUACUAAUGUCUAUGUAGAUAGAUUAUGCAUGGGUUCUAAAUUGUAUACUAUUAAGAUUUAUGAAAAAGCUUUUGUUGGUAAGUUCAAUUCUAUGGGUCGAAUAAAAUGUAGACGAAAAUGUAAAAAUAAAAGUACAAGUUUCACAAUAAAUACCUUUAAAAUAGUAAAUUGCGCUAAUUCCAUGGGGCUUUAUGAUUUUGGGAACUCUAUCAGUAAUUAGAACGUUUAGUAGCAUACACGGAUGUGGAAUAUGUCAUUGUCUGUUCGUGUGUGUUUGUAAGAGAGAUUUAAAAAAGUAGGUAAGAAAUUUAGGAGUAAAAAAUGAAAUGAAUAGUGCAUUGUAUUGCGCAACCGAUCUUCUGUCUCGCUUUCUGUGUUACUCUCUGUCUCACUUUUUAUUAUAUUGUUAUUUCUGCUUUAUAAACAUUAUAUUUUAGUUCUUUUUUAUUUUUUUAAGAUUCACUAACUAUCACCUGAGUAAUGUACAAAAUUUAACGAACUCAAAAAAAUAAAAAUUGCAUAAAAAAAAGAGAUUUUUUUUAAUGAAUUUUCUCUUGUAAUUUUUAAAAUUUUCUAUCAUACAUUACUUUUUUUGAAAUUGUUGUAUUAAUUUUUUACUCAAUUAAUAGUUAUUGGAUUUUAAAGAAAUAAAAAGAAACUAAAAUAUGAUGUUUAUGAAGGAUAAAUAGCAAUAUAAUAAAAAGUGGGACGGAGAGUGGCAUAGGGAAUGAGACAGAAGAUCCGUUACGAUUAUAUUGGAUACUCAAUUACGAAAAAUUGGAUUGAAGCAAAGCCCGUAAACGCGCGUACACACACAUAUACACAUUUAUAUAUAUACAUAUACAUACAUAUACAUAUAUAUAUAAUAAAUUUCUUACUCGAGAAAUGUGAUUGCCUUUACGAACUUAGGAAAAAAAAAGAAGGUCCUACCUAACCAUUCGCUGCAUUGUUUUGCAGCCCAUUUUGUAUUUCAAGUGCCCUCUCCCUUUCUUGUUCACCCCUUGUUCGUCUCUCCCCAUUUUUGUUAUGUAGUAAAAUUUAGUUGAUGGGAAAAAAGACUACAUGCGCAGAAAUCUUGAAUUUUACUCGUUGACAAAAAAACAGAUAUCGAGAAUUUGGAAUAUGCAUAAAUAACAACCUGAAAUAUAUUAGUAAAGUACUUUUUUUUGGGCUGAUGCCUGAUUAUUGAUAAGAAUGUAUUUCAUUAUUUUAAAGAUGAUAAUUUUUUUGUGAUCAAAAUUUUAUAAAUUAAUUGAAUAAUGAUUGAUUUAUUUGAUAAAUCAAUCCCAAAAUUCAAUAAAUCAACAUACAUGCUUAUUUUUCAUACAUUAAUUUAGAUUAUAUCUAUAAUUAUUAUAAUAGUAACAUUUUUAGUAAUGUAAAUAUUUAAUAAUUUGUACUCGUGAACUUGAAAGUGGUGAUUUUUAAGUGCAAUAACAAAAUUCUAAAAAUUAGCAACAAAUAAUUUCAAGUAUAUGAUGAGGAAGAGAUUGCUGGGAGGGAUGGGCUUUUCCUUUCUUUUUUUUUUUUUUUUUUAAGUCAUCCUAAGACUAUUGUGGAUGGAUGGGUUUUACCUAAGUCAUCUUACAGCCUUUUCCUAUUUUUCUUUUAAAUUGCAGGAAGCAGUCACAGUCGCGAUGUGCGACCACCUACCCUUUUUCUUUUCUAAUUUUCAUUUUUUUUUCUGUGAGGAAGAAAAUAGGCUAAUUGCGUUCAUGGUCACAUUCUUCGAAUCCGACUCUCUCAUAUGCCUGAAUCUCUUCCAGAUCAAUCCCCUUUGGUAGAUAAAAAUUUUUUGUUUUCAUCACAAACUAAGAAAUUGGCCUAGAAAGAUUGCCUCCACUGAGCUCAGAAUGUCGAACUUCAAAUUUAAGAAGAAAAGAAACCAGGUAAAAAGUAGGAUUUGAAUGUCAAAGACAUUGAUCUUAAUUAUCUUCGUUACAGGCUUGUAAGUACUUUCUUCUUCUGUACAUUCCAUCUUUAUAAGUGUUUUUACUCUUACCAUGUAGAAUUAUAGUAUACAUCAUUAUUUUACUCGACAAAUGCAUACAAGUCAUUUAUACAUACGUUAAAGUGUCAGAAUAUAGAGGUUCUGAAUUUCAAUUCUCCUCCUUCCUAUCCACUUUUAAAAUUUCACCCCUCUCAUACUGGAAGAAAAAAAAAUGCACAUAAGUCAUAUUGUUACUAUAUUGAUCUUUUUGUAGAAGGCAUAAAGUUUUUUUUUAAACAGUUGGCUUUAUUUGGAUUGCAUUGGACUUUUUAUAAGAAAAUAACUGUAGCGAUUUGAUAUAUGUGAGAUAAAAAGAUGAUUGAAAAAUAUGUCUACGAAAAAUAUAGCAAUUUUGUUAUAGGUUCAUUUACACAUUCAAAUAAAUAAAGAGUAAAUCUUAUGUAUACUGACAGUGUAUACACUAUCAUCGUUGGAUUCAUGACAUGUGCGCAAAAAAUGAAUUUAAAUUCAAAUUUUGCAUUGUUAUCAUUCAUCGGACGCUGAUAGUGUAUACACUGUCAAUGUAUAUAAAAUUAAUUCAUAAAUAUAAGCAUUUUUAAGCUUAAGGGAUAUGCAAAGUUAAAAAAAAAAAAGGGAAUAGGUUUUUGACAAUUUCAUUUGGUAGAGGUUUUGAAUAUUAAGCCCUGCUCCCCGAUUAGCAAUUUCGAUGUAACAAAAAGUAAGCCCAUCCAAAAAAAAAAAAUGAAUUUUCUAUGAUGUACCCUUAGGACAAAGAAUAAGCAUACAAAAAAAAGGGUGUGACCCAUUAUAAAAGUUUGAUCUAGUCCCACCUCCUAUUUCGCUUAAAAUUUUAAACUUUUGCCAACAAAAUAUAGCUUGACCCAUCUCUAUUGCUGAUGAGAUUUUAGUCUAUUCGCUAAAAUUGAAGUUUUAAGAAUUAGAAAUUCUAGAUUCAAUUUUUCCUUCUCGCUUUUUUUCAUAGACAGGAGGAGAUGUUAGCCGCAUAUAUUACAAAUUUUUAAAUAAAAGAAAGUUAGAAAGGAUUGUGAAAACAACUGAAAAUAAAUAAAUAAUACUACUCCCUUAUAUCAAAUCAAAGUAACGAACACAACCAAAGUUCAUAUUAUCUAAUUUUAUAACAGAAUGAAGCUUUGGAAGAUUGAAAGUAGAAUGAAACACAUGUUGAUUACCCAUCCCUAGACACGGCAGCCAAUUUAUCACCACGCUUCCUUCCCUGUCCCUGUAUAUGCGAGAAACCGAGGCUGAUAGAAGAAGCAAGUAAUGUCGGCUUUUGGGAAUUUUGCCCCUAAAAGGCCACCCCUGUCGACACCAAAUCUUUCCUAAUAAUAACAAUAAUAAUGGUGAAAUAAAAUAAAUGAUAAUGUCCUAAUCUUUUCCUAUGGGAAGGAGCCCCUUCUAGUUUUUAGCUUUCCUUGUUUAAAUAAAUUCUCUAAUAGGAUUUUUUAGUGAGAGAUUAUUCUCUCUUAAUAUCUCCUAGUGAGUAUUGCUUUUCUCCUAAAUUGUUCUACUAGGAGUUUUAUUCUCUCAAAAUUUUCUUGCGAGUCUUUUUAGUUGUUGUCAUAUUUCUGUGAGAUUUUGUAGAUAUUUCGAAUUUGUAAUUUCUCCAUUUACGAUUGUUAGAUUUAAAUUUCUUUUUGGACUUAGAAUCAGUUUUUGAUCGGAUCUAACUAUUAGAAGUUAUGGAUGGAUCUAACAGGUUAUAAUGAUUCAUAUGGAUAGAAGAAACGUUAGAACAUCAAUGUUAUCUUUAUUUGUAUUUUGUUGCAUCUAUAGAUUUUCAGAUCUAUACGUAUUUGUAUCAUAUUUGAUUUGAUAUAUUUUCUAUCAUUAGUACAAAUUUACUGAAUGAAAUUAUCCCUUCUAUCAAAAAAAAAAAAGCUUGAAAAUGCAAAAUAAUUAAUAGAAUAAUAAAAAAGUUGUUCUUGAAAAUUUGUUUAUGGUAAGUUGCAAAAAGCUAGAUAGAUUGUGAAAAAGUUGCAGAGAGAUCUAAAUAUCUAAAUCUCAAUGUUUGGAAAUAUUUCGGCCCGCAAAAUAUUGAACUAACAACAUUAAUUUCUUUUUAAAAAGGGCUCAAAUUAGCAAACGGAAAAGGGAGAAAUAUUUAACAUCAAUGAAGUAUGUUAGAUGUUCACAUUUCACAUUGCCUAAGGUGGUCACAAUUCAUUAUAUUUCUUAGUGAAUGUCAUGCCCAUGCGGACUGGUAUUUUUACUUAGUAUUUCCAACUAUCAAGAUUUACACCUUUUUAAUUUUUUGAAUGACAUAAUUGUAAUCCACCUCAUCAAAAAAAUUGUUGAGCCUGUCAUAAAUAAUUUUUCAAACAUAAACUUUUCUUCUCUUUUAUUAUAGUUUUUAAGUUCUUUUUUUGGAGUUAAAUUUGUAAUAUUAAUUUCACAUGAAAUAAUAUGAUUUAUGCAUUACACAUAAAAAUAUUAUGCAAAUAGGUUGAGCUUAUUAUUGUUGAUAUAGUGAGGCAAGUGUAAAGUAAACAUCCUCGAGGAUGUCCUUAUCCCCGCUAAAGGAUCCUAGCUCCACUACUAGUUAGGGCAUCCGUAAUGGAUUACACUCUAUUAAGUAUAAAUUAUAUGGCACAUCAUUAGUUUAUUGUCCCCUCUUUCAAUACACUAUUUCUCACCAUAAGUUAUAGUUUAUAGAGUAUAAUAGUAUAGAUUUUCAAUCAAAUCACAUAUUUAUUUUAAUAAUCCACAAUCCAUAUCCCAUAAAGAAAUAAAUUUAUUUUCUAAACAAUCAUUUCAUUAUUUUUGGAAAAUAAUUUAUUAACUUUCAAAAAAAAUUUACUUCCUAAUUUUUUAAAUUUUUUUAAAAAAUAAUAUUAUUAAUUUUUGAAAAAUGAUAUAUAUUUUUGUGGCUCUCAAAAAUAAUACAUUGUUACUUGCUAAAAUAUAAUUACGUAAUUAUUAAACAAAUACCCAACACUUACCAAAUGGGACCCAUAAUUUUUUUUUUUUUGUCUUCUUGCAUAUCUAUUCUGCUUGUAAUGGCUAUGAUUAGGGGUGUGCAUCGAAUUCGAAUUCGGAAAAUUUGGAAGUUUGAAUUCGAAAUUUUUUGAAAUUUUGGUAUAGGAAUUAUCGACCAAUUUCGAUUUCGAAUUCACCAGUUCAGAUUUCAAUUUCGAUUCCGAAUCCAAUUCGGAAUUCGGUAAAUUUUGAAUUCACCGAAUUCGAAACCUUUUUUCCCUUUUUUUCUUUUUUGUUAGAUGUAUUGUUAUAUAAUAUAAAUUUUAUAUUACAUAUAUUAUAAAAAAUAUUAUUAUAUAUAAAAAUAUUAUUAAAAUAUUAUUAUAUAUAAAUAUAUUAUUAUAUACAUAAAUAUAUAUUAAUAUACAUAUUAUAAAAUGAAAUUGAAAUAAAAAAAUAUUAUUAUAAAUAUAAAUAAAAAAAUAUUAAUAUAUAUAUUAUAAAACGAAAUUGAAAUCGGAAAUUUCGAUUUCAAAAACUCCAUUACCGAAUUUGAACCAAAUUCUCAUAAUUCGAAAUCGACAAUUCCGGUGUCAGUGCCGGAUUUUGAAUUACCGAUUUCGAAAAUUCUGAAUUCAAUUCGAAUUCGGUCAAUAAAUCGGAAUUUUUUAAUUUUGCACACCCCUAACUAUGAUAUGCAUCAUGGCUAUUACAUUCCCACUAUGGGAGAGGGUAUAAUUGUUGGGUAUAAUAAAGGGUAUUAUUUACACCUUCUAUUACACUCCAUUGUGGAUGCCCUUAUAUUUUGAUGUGAUAAGGUUAUUUGAAUGACCAAAAGCUCCUUAGCGCAAUAGAAGUUUGUUUAGGUUGGGAGUGGACUGGCCAUGCUCGAAGAAUAAUUUUUCCUUUUAGGGUCCCAUUUGAGUUGAAAAUCUGAUUGAUGUAGUCUUCAAAGGGCAAACAUUAUUUAUAGUUGAUAUAUUUUUUUUAAUUAAGGAAAGUUCAACAAAGAAAAUUUCCAUAAUGGUAUAUGUGUAUACACACACAUUAAUAAAUUACUACUAAAGUAGUAGCACUUGAAAUCUUAAACUUAUGUUUAUUGUUGUGUCUAGAUUUUUUUUGACAAAAUAUCAUAAUUUCAUUAAAAUCUGAACAAAUGGCGGAAGUUACAUCAUCAACUAUAUACAGAUAUUAAAGAACAGAUCUGAGAAUAACGGAUACUACAGAUGGUCUUGGAGUUACAAUUGUUUUAUCUUAAUUUUUAUUAUUUGUUCUUCAUAUUUGUUUGUGUCCGGAAUUUUCAAAAGGAUAAUAGUCACCAUGAAUGUUAUCAUUUUGAAUGUCAUAACAAUUGAAAAUCAAAUUAUGAUUUCAAAAGUCAUAAACGUGCAUUUUUUUGGAUAAAAAUAUUGAAAUGGCACAACAAAAUCCGGAGGAUUUCAAAAGCCUUCAAAUUUUUUUAAUUUUCUAACAAAUCUGGCAUUAGAAAUGGCACAACAAAAUCCGGAGGAUCUCUCCGCAAAAAGACAUGAUCACAUAUGAAUUUUGCAUUCUUAGCUAGCACAUGAGUGACUUUAUAAUUACCUAAAAUAUAAGAAUUAGGAUAGGAUUAGAUGGGUAGUAGCAUCAUAAAUGAAUCAUAGACAUAACUUAAAUUCAAAUUAUUACAUUCUAGUAUCUCAGAUCCUACUGCAUGUUUGUUUAUUUUAUAGGGGUAAAAUUACCUAAAAUCCAAGAAUAUGGACGGAAUUAGAUUGGAAGAUUAAUCAAAUAGUAUUAGAAUACAAUAUAAACAUUUGUAACUCUUAAACUUGCUAUUUUCUUGCUCCUUAGCAGGACAAUGUGUUCUGAUUUGGGAAAGGAAAAUAGCAAGAUUAUGAAUGAGGCUGGGAGCUGCAACCUUCCAUAAACCAUAGAUUGUAUUAUAAUAUAAUUAAGGAUUAAUCUUCUACACACUAACAUUGUAUACAUUUUCACUAUUAGAUACAUGACACGUAAUCCGAAUUUGAAUUUAAAAUCCAAAAUUUGCAUAUAUGUUGUGCAUUUAAUUAUGAUAAUGUAUAUACUAUCCGUAUAUAUAAGAUUUACUCAUUAAUUAAACUAUAAUAUCAUCAUCCCUAGGUUGUCUUUUAAUGUGAUUAAACCAUUAAUCUCCCAAUUUAAACCUACCAUUAGCCGUAGACUAAGGUAAUUUCACAAGCUAAUGCAGUUUCUUAAGAUUAGGAGUAAUAAUUUGGAUUUCCGUUGAUUUUGUGAUUUUCAAAUUCAUUGUAUCUGUGAUGCUAAUUGUUGUCCUAUCACUCUCCAUCAAAGCAAACAAAAAUAACUCUCUGCCGAAGUAAACAAAUAUAGGGAUUGCAGGGGAUAGGUUAUCCUCUAAAAUCUCUCUUACCCACUCCUCACUCGUUCAGAACAGUCUCUUAUCAAACCUAUCGGAGAACCCAACCGAUUCAUGAAACCAAAAUACAUGCAUCUACAUGGUUUAAAAAUUUGGAAACUAACAAAAUUAGUACAUUAAGAUAAAAACAUUCCAUUAUAAUAAAACCAUAGGUUAGAGCCAUGAUUUACAAUCAUACGAUAUGCAACUUAGAAAAAAAUCACUUCAAAGAUCGUGGCCAAAUGAUCAACUUGAAACAACAACUAAAUGGUACAAGUAGCCCCCCCUCCCCAAUACCAAACUCUAAUGGAUAACCCAUUGCUCGUACAAUCGAACUAAUCAUCAGGUCGUGUAUCAAUGGGUAUUGGGUUUUACCCUAAUUGUUGCCAUCCAUAAACAAAAAUUACAAGAACAAGUCCAUUGAUCUUGCCAAUUACUGAUGUCACCAAAACUUGUACUGCAAAACUCCUCCUAAUUGAGAAUCUCGAGGAGCUUCAAAUCUUGUCGGAGCAUCACUUCUCGCCAUGCAGCAGUAGCCCCAUACUAAGUCUGUGAGCAAAACCAUAGCCUGAAAAGAAAGCAAACGCAUAAGAGUCCUACUGAGUUUGUUAGUCGUUGUGUAAAGUUAUAAAAAUACCCAAUAUAUCCCAAUGUAUGAUUCAGAAACUGGCAAAUCCUGAGCUAUCAGGCAAUUACCUAAUACAUCCCAAUGCAUGAUUUCAGAAACUGGCAAAUCCUGAACUAUCAGGAAAUAAAAUCUGUAGACUGUGUGCAUCAACUGCCAGGCUAUGGCUUCUACCUGGCUGACUUCCCAGUAAGAAAUCCUCCAAAAUUGAGGACUUAAUUGGAGAAACUCCAUAAGAUCUUCUUCAAUUGGUUGAUCCAUUCCCUUAGCUAGAAAUCUUCUCAGAUCCUUGUGAGAAGAUACUGGAUAUAGCCAUUUAGAGCAGAUACAUGUAGAACGGUAUACUUCCAAAUACUCCACAAAGCUGAAGAACAGAGAUAAAAUUGAGCUGCACAAGAGUUCCAAUUCUUCAACAUCAGCUUUUAAAGCUAAACAAUAGUUUUGUUGAUAAAAGAUACAUAAGCCACAUGCAUUUUUAUAUUUAUACCCUCAGAAAGAGGCAAAUCACAUUAGAAUUCAGUCUGGAUGCACCCUGCAGGACACAAUCAAAUAUGCUUAUGUCACAGGAAGAAAUAAAUUAUAUAAUUUCCACAGAAAACAUUAACACCCCAAAAAAUGAUACAUAAUCGCCAAUUUUCCUUGCAACCAAAAAGCAGAAAAAAAUUUAUGAGAUUUUCAAACCUUUCACCCUCUAAAGCAGUACAGCAAUAUUAUUCAUACCUAAACCACUGGCACAAGUACCUUCAAAUGCUGAAAUGAAAGAGCUUUCCAGUGCAUUUCUAUCCUCUGAUGCAGCAACAUAUGAAAAGUCUACCGAAAAGUUGGAGUUCCAAAAAGGGACCUGGUCAUGAGAAUCAUAUAGCAAUUACAAGCAAGAUAAAUGGCAUGAUUGACGCUGAAGACAUAUUAAUUCACUAGUCAAGAGAACUGCAAGUAACUUGAGCAAAUCCAAAUGUCAUAAGAAUUAGUCUUAGCAAUAAGUGAUAAAAGAGAGCAAAUAUAUACUGAAUGAGGGACUAACAAAGUGGCUCAACUCCAGAAGUAAAGAUAACUAUACAGAAGAUAGGAUAAAAAUUUCCAUAUAACAUUUGUGGCAAAACAUGCUGCUUAAAGUUUCUUGAUUUUUGUAUAUGCAAGCUAUUCCUAACAAGUUCCUGGACCUCAAGGUCUAGUAUCCAAGCAAUCAGAUCUAAAGGAUAAGAAGUUUUGUAUGUGGCCAAACUACAAAAGUUAAGAUCAUUCAACUAGAUAAAGGACAAAAAUUUCCCUUUGCCAUUUCUACUAAAACAUGCUAAGCUUCUUGAUUUUUGUAUACAAAAGUUAUUCCCAACAAUUUCCUGGACAUCACUGUCUAAUUCUGGUAAAGACCAAGAAUAACAGGUGCAACCAACAUUGACAUGUAUGGGCACAUAUUCUUACAGUUUCUGCCUUUCUGGCAUAAUCAAUGCCAGUUACUAUAACCUCUAGCACCUUUUCUGGUCCAGUUAUACCACGCUGUAAACCAAUUUCUUCUGCUCUGACAGUUUUUCCUGAAUAAUCAUCAAAGAUCAGUUAGGUUAUAUUUUAAUUUAAACCAGGAUCCACACUUACAAGACUUUCCCUCUUUUAGUAUCAAGUAUAUCAGUUGUACCUUAUCAUGACGCUUUGCCCAUUUCUUAACCAACACAAGAGCUUGUACAAGCGGUUGACACCUUUCCACCUGAAAACAGGAAAACCAUCACUGUCAACAUCCGAGACAAAGCCUCAGAUUCAUGAAUCAACUAAAGCCUGUACUAAGCCGUCUAAAGACAAACUCUAGCAAUUCUUUUCAGGGAAUUUACAGAGAAUGGAUAGUGUACUCCUCUCCAUUGAUCACAAAUCAACCUGGCAUACCAACAAAUAAUACAGACGAAAUGCUAUUAUUUCAAUUCCCCUAAAAAAUUUCAGAAUAUUUUGCAUAAAUCAGAUCUGACGACCAGGAAGCUAUCAAUCCUGAUUGUACUCAAACUGCAUAUUCACCUUCAGUCUUUUCACUUGGAAAAAGAAAUACAAAACAAAUCAAGUCUUUUCUAGUAAAAAUCAUACGCAUAGUAGGUAUAUUACUCACCACAAACAAGAUGGGACCGAAAUGUAAUUUUAGCACAAUAAAAGGCAAACUGACAACUUAAAACAAUUUUUUUUUUUAAUGUCACACGAACAGAAUGUCAAGCAAAAUACAUUAGACAGACAUACAACAUAGUGAAAUAUUGUUAAAAAAGAAUGCAGACUGACAUUGAACUACUCAAUUUCUUAGUUGUCAAAUCCAGACAACACAGAGCAGUAUAUGUAUAGUUAAUUAUAGCACAACAUAAUUACUGCACUAGUAGACAGAAAAAUCAAUGAAUACAAAAAGAGACUACAUCCUAACCAGAAGCAUUGAGAAGCAUAUAUGCGUGAAAGCAAAAUCUAAGACCAAAAUCUUCACAUACCAAUCUGAAGAAGUCUUCCUGCAAUUUUCUGGCCAAGUUUGAUGUUAUUGUGGAUUCUACAUGCAGCUAGAAGAACUUCCAAAAUCACGGCAUCUGGCUCCAAAGGCAUCUUGUCAAUAAUGGACUCAGCCUCAGAGAGUCGCCCAGCUCUGCCGAGAAGAUCCACCAGAGCAGUGUAGUGAUAGAUUGUGGGUGCAAUCAGGUAAUACUGAAUCAUGGAACUAAAGUAGGCCAACCCUUCAGCUACUAACCCUGCACGGCCACAAGCACAAAGAAGCCCCAGAAAACUAACCUGAUCAGGAACAAAUCCUUCACCUUCCAUUUUCUGGAAAAUUUGGAUAGCAUCUUCAACAAAUCCAUUCUCACCACAGCCAGUCAAAACAGUAUUCCAUGUGACCAGAUCUCGCUCUUGCAUACUUUCAAAAGCCAAAAAACCAUCCUUAGAGCCAAACUUAAAGUACAUAUUGAUCAAAGCAUUACCAACAAAGAGAUGGGAAGCCCAUCCAAGUUUAAAAAUAAGGGCAUGGAUCUGUUUUCCGAGCUUGACUGCACAUAGGCUCCCGCUAACACUAAGGAGGUAUGGAAAAGUUAGCUCACUUGGUUUUACAUCCUGGCCUAACAUGUCGAGGAAUAGUUGACAAACAAAUUCUCCUUCCCCAGCUUGCACAUAAGCUGCUAACAUAGAAUUCCAGGAUACCAUGUUAUGUUUUGGCAUCUUCAGGAAUGUCUUUAAAGCACAAUCCAGCAUGUCAUUCUCAGAGAAACCAAUUAUGAGAGAAUUCCAAGAGACUAUAUCUCUCUCACUCAUAGAACUAAAAGCCAGAGAACUGACUUCCAUAUUCUUGGAUUUAGCAUACAUGGAAAUCAACCCAUUUCCUAUGUAGGUAUUGUAUUGAUAACCUAAUUUAAAAACAAGAGAAUGUAUCUGCCUACCAACUUCAUAAUCUCCACAGUUACUACAUGCCAGGAGAGCACUAGUGAAACUAGAACAACUAGGUGCAGUGCCUGACCUAUGUAGCUGAACUAAUACCUCCAAAGCUUCUCUAUUCUGUCCACUCUGCACGAGCCCAGAGAUCAUCGCCCCCCAAGAAACUAUAUUUCUCACAGGCAUCCUUGCAAACAGGUUUUUGGCCUCCUCAACCAUCCCAUUUUGCGCAUAUCCCGUGAGCAUCGCAUUCCACGUAACAACAUUUGGGUUCCUAAUCUCAUCAAAUAAAAUUCUCGCUUCAUUUAACAUCCCAUUUUGAGCAUAGCUACUCAUCAUUGCCGUUCUUAUAUCAACAGUUACAUCAGGAACUUGUCUAUACAGUGCAAUGGCAUCUUCCAACCUUCCACAUUCUGAAAAGGCUGUGAUCAUCGUAGUGUAGGCAUAGUCAUUCCUCUCUUGCAUUCCCUCAAAAAAUUUGAUAGCAGAGUCCAAACUCCCAUUCCUUGUCAAACCAUUCAAAGUCGCAGUCCCCACCACCACAUCUUUGUCGUAUCCGAUCUUCAUCACCAAUGCCAUCAAGCUCUUAACCAACUCCACAUCAUCCAAUCCUGUUGCAGUGGACAAAGUAACCACAAUUACAGCCUGGUCUAGCUUUACCUCUCUCCAUCUAUGAAUCUCCAAAAAUAAAGCCCAAGCUUCCUCAAACUGACCUAUCUCCACAUACCCAGAAAUCAUCACCACCCAUGAAACUGAAUUCCUCUCCGGCAUUUCAUCAAACAAAGCAUGAGCCUCGUAUACUCUCCCACACCUGCAAUACCCUGUGAUCAUCGAAUUCCAAGUUGACACAUUCUUUUCAGACAUUACAUCAAACAACCUCCUCGCAUUAACAAAAUCACCAAUUCCCCAAUACCCACUAAUCAUCGCAUUAUACGAAACAAUAUUCCUCUCGGGCAUGGCCUCAAAAAGUCUAAUAGCCUCCCAAAUUCGUCCAUUUUUGGCAUAGCCAGAUAGCAUUGCAGUCCAGGUUGUCACAUUCUUAUCUUGACAAACGUUAAAAAGAACUUCGGCAUCCUUGAUGCGGUUGCUUUUCGAGUAACCAGAGAUCAUGGAGUUCCAUGUGACAGAGUCUCUUUGCGGCAUUGAAUCAAACACCUUGCGGGCAUGAUCGACUUGGCCAAAUUUCAGCAGCUCGUGGAUUCUUUUGUUGCACUGAAAAAUAUGGGUUCUUGGGUUCCAUGGAAAUGUGCAGAAGGUGCGAUUGAAAAGAGAGCGAGACAUAAAAUGGGUGUAGAGACAUAAGGAGGGAGAAGGCAAAAGUUCGUUAGGUGCUUGAAUUGGCGGGACUGGGCAAACGGUAUGAACAGAAUCAGGUUUAUAGACUUAUUAUAAACAAUUAAAUUUGAGCUAUUGUAGGGGUUUUUCUUAAAAUAAAAAAAAAACUUUUUAAAAAGUGAAAUUAAACCCUAUUUGGGAUUACUAUGGACCAAUGGCUUAUCAGAAACCUUUUUUAAAGAAAAAAAAAAACUAAAAGUGCCUAUUAUGUGCUUAAUAAUUGUUGGGAGAGCAAGCAUUUAUGUGGUUGGGUAGCCAUUAUUUACCGAUAUUAUUUUGCUUGAAUUAUAAUCACAAUAACUAAACACUUUUUUUUUAAAAAAAAAAAUCUUCACAAUCACAUUUUCAUUUCUCAUUUAUCACAUCACGGAAAAUACUACGAGUGUAUUUGGGUAGGAGUUUAUUUGAAAUAUUGUUUGAAAUAAUUAAUAUAUUAUUGUUCGUGAUGUGAUGUUUGUAUUUCAAAUUAAAAAAGUGAUUUAAAAAAUAAAAGAAUUAAUUAAAAAACAUAUUUAUGAUACAAGCAAAAUGAUAUUUUUGGAUAGGGUAUUAUUUGAAAUAUUAUUUGGAAUAAUUACUGUAGCACUUUUUGUGAUGUGAUGUAUGUGAGAUAAAAAGGUGGUUGGGAAUAUAAAAAGGUGAGUUGGGAAAUGUGUUUAUGAUACAAGCGAAAUAUUAUUUGAGAUAACAAUGCUAUCCAAACACUUACUAUCCAAUUAUUCCAAAUAAUUAUUCCAUCAUUAUUGGAAAUGUUACCCACUAAAGUGCAGUUGAUUAACAAUCUAUAAGAAUAACCAUAAGCCGCCUAUUCCAUCGGUGAAAUGACAUGACCUCAGGAUGGAAUGAGUUUCCUCCCCUCCUAAACUUAUAAAGAAUGAAAAAGAAGAUAGUUAUUGGAUCAUGCGUUCUUUUUUUUUUUUUUCGAGAUUUUUGAAAUGUAAUUUUGUCUCUAUAAGGUUUUGAAUUUAUCAAUCCAUAAGCGAAGUUCUCAAGAAAGACCACCACUGCAACAUGUACAGUUUUUCUGCCAUAGUCAUUCGCAUUGUCCCCAUUUCAUCCAUUCUAACCACACAUUCAUUAUAACCUGUUUUUUUUUUUUUUUGAAAUUUUUGAAAUGUAUUUGUGUGUCCAUACAGUUUUUGAGAAGGCUUGAUUAACAUUCAUUUCAUGAGAUCUUGAGUCUUCCAUCUUGGAUUUGGGGGCAUUGGGCUGUUAUUGGCACCUCCAGUAGAGGAAAGAUGCCUUUUGUUAUCAUAACUCCAGUUUUUUUUUUCCCUGCCAACUCUAGCAUUGGAUCUCAAUUUAAAAGAACAACAAUGAAAAAAGAUGAUAGUAAUGUUAUAAGUCAUUAAACUCUCUUUGCAUUUCUUGAGGAAACCAGACAUUGUCAGGUGCUACAAAACAUUUUCAGCAUCACACGUUACUAACAAUUGCACAAACGGCUGGCAAGUAAUAGAAAAUUGCCAGACUGAAGCCUUUUAAAGCUAAUUACUAGAAACUAAUGCUAAAGUUCCCUGAAUUACAACUAGAAGAAGUCUAAUGCAGGUCUCACCUCAUGUUACCCUCCCGCAAGACAU
Molecule: long non-coding RNA, 18271 nt
Filed under: Coffea arabica (coffee)
Lineage: Eukaryota; Viridiplantae; Streptophyta; Magnoliopsida; Gentianales; Rubiaceae
Description: long non-coding RNA (CARA_LNC002534)
Source: RNAcentral